CAAAUCUUCCAGGGCUCCGGGUCCUGAUUUGAGGUGAGCCCGGGAGCCAAGAUGUGAAUCUCAAAGCCCGUCCCCAGCCCUCACUCUUAGACACCGCCCUGUGCUGCGAAGGGCACGUGCCACGCCAAAGUUCAGUAGCACCUAGGUAGAGGGAAGACUUUCUGGAAGAGACACACCCCUAAGCAGAAUUUUAGAAAGGAUGUAUUCUAGCCUGGCAAAGGUCAAGAGGGAAGAAAAAGGAAACGGAGCCUGUGUCCAUCUCACAAGUAGCUGGUAUUGUGUCAGAAUCUUUACCUACGCUUUUGUUUAAGCCUGAAGACGUGAGUUAGGUAUAAUGACUCCCAUUUGACAGAUGAGAAAACUGAGGCCACACCGUAAUCGAUGAUUCGAGUCAGUUUAUGGAAGGACCAACCUCCUGACACUCAUCCCCAUAUUCUGUUCAGGGCUUCACUUAGCAAGCCAGCAAGGCAGAGAGAGU
RNAcentral lists this long non-coding RNA (478 nucleotides) under Pan troglodytes (chimpanzee). Its description in RNAcentral is "lincRNA". Lineage: Eukaryota; Metazoa; Chordata; Mammalia; Primates; Hominidae. The record is from RNAcentral.